UUGGACAACAACAUAAAACGGUGAACACGGAGCUUGCUCUGUGGGAUCAGUGGCGAACGGGUGAGUAACACGUGAGCAACCUGCCCCUGACUCUGGGAUAAGCGCUGGAAACGGCGUCUAAUACUGGAUAUGUGACGUGACCGCAUGGUCUGCGUCUGGAAAGAAUUUCGGUUGGGGAUGGGCUCGCGGCCUAUCAGCUUGUUGGUGAGGUAAUGGCUCACCAAGGCGUCGACGGGUAGCCGGCCUGAGAGGGUGACCGGCCACACUGGGACUGAGACACGGCCCAGACUCCUACGGGAGGCAGCAGUGGGGAAUAUUGCACAAUGGGCGCAAGCCUGAUGCAGCAACGCCGCGUGAGGGACGACGGCCUUCGGGUUGUAAACCUCUUUUAGCAGGGAAGAAGCGAAAGUGACGGUACCUGCAGAAAAAGCGCCGGCUAACUACGUGCCAGCAGCCGCGGUAAUACGUAGGGCGCAAGCGUUAUCCGGAAUUAUUGGGCGUAAAGAGCUCGUAGGCGGUUUGUCGCGUCUGCUGUGAAAUCCGGAGGCUCAACCUCCGGCCUGCAGUGGGUACGGGCAGACUAGAGUGCGGUAGGGGAGAUUGGAAUUCCUGGUGUAGCGGUGGAAUGCGCAGAUAUCAGGAGGAACACCGAUGGCGAAGGCAGAUCUCUGGGCCGUAACUGACGCUGAGGAGCGAAAGGGUGGGGAGCAAACAGGCUUAGAUACCCUGGUAGUCCACCCCGUAAACGUUGGGAACUAGUUGUGGGGUCCAUUCCACGGAUUCCGUGACGCAGCUAACGCAUUAAGUUCCCCGCCUGGGGAGUACGGCCGCAAGGCUAAAACUCAAAGGAAUUGACGGGGACCCGCACAAGCGGCGGAGCAUGCGGAUUA
This 890-nucleotide ribosomal RNA is filed under the name Microbacterium sp. H5. Its description in RNAcentral is "bacterial SSU rRNA". It matches the Rfam family "Bacterial small subunit ribosomal RNA", at positions 49 to 948 of the family's 1533-position model. Lineage: Bacteria; Bacillati; Actinomycetota; Actinomycetes; Micrococcales; Microbacteriaceae. The record is from RNAcentral.